GGGCAGUUAGUACAGCCUGCCAAACUGACCCCUGGGUGCCAGAGUGUUCCUGUGCUGCGUUGGAGAAGAGGUCCACAGGCACUAUCACUAAAGAGCUCGGGGCCCAGCUAGAUUACCAAUUUAUGGAGCUGACGGAGAGUGAGAUCAGUGAAGACCAUAACUCACUGUAUGAACCUGAGAGCUCAGAAUCACAAUCAUCACAGUGCCAAGAUAUACUAUCAAUCACUUUGGGGGGAGCGGGCUGGUGUUCUGAAAAUGGAGAAGGAGCAGGCCAUUCAACAGCCAAUUCAAAGAUACGCCCAUCCAUAAAGGGAAUCAGAGUGGAAUUGCUUUUCCACUGAUUUUUCUUUAUUUUGUUACCCGUUUCAACGGAUGUGCUACCUUAUCCCAAUCCUGCUGUAUCGACUCUCUCAACCUAUAAAUGAUCAGCUAUGAAAAGCCAACUGACAUUUGCUUCUGAGGUGUUGAACUGUUGCUCCCUCUAUAACCACUGUGAUUAUUAUUUUGAUGUAAAACGGGCUUUUGUAAAAUAUAUUUGAUUGAUUGUUUGUUGUGCUGGAUGCUGUGUAUUCACUAACUGUCUUAAGUGAUGGGACAUUUUUAUAGUAUCUUUAACAUAUUUCAGUUUGUAUUUAAUCUGCAUUUCAACUUCUUAAAGUGCCAAUCAGCAGUAGAAAGAAUAGCAAAGAGCCUCCCUGCUCCUGUUUCGGUAAAAAGCUGAGGGAUGGGGCUGGAGAAAUGUAACCACUCUCAAAUUCAUAGACAGAGAUAUACUGUAGAUGCGAAGAAUGACUAUCCAUGAUAUCAAAAGUGUAAUCUUGUUUCUAUGGUCUGUUUCCACUACCAUGUACCCAGUUCGCUUAGGAUAAAGGCAUCUGCUACAUGGCAUAUAUUAUUAAAGUCUACUUUGACUCUGCCAACUA
This is a non-coding RNA of Salvelinus sp. IW2-2015, 923 nucleotides long. Lineage: Eukaryota; Metazoa; Chordata; Actinopteri; Salmoniformes; Salmonidae. The record is from RefSeq and is a predicted model, not a curated record.